RNAcentral lists this long non-coding RNA (270 nucleotides) under Theobroma cacao (cacao). Its description in RNAcentral is "long non-coding RNA (TCAC_LNC000532)". Lineage: Eukaryota; Viridiplantae; Streptophyta; Magnoliopsida; Malvales; Malvaceae. The record is from RNAcentral.
UUAUUGUCAAGACUUGAACCUUUGCCCACAUGUUAAAAGAGUUAAAAGAUAACCAUUUCUUCCACCAGCCCAUACUUAAAACUUAUCUCCCAAAGUUAAUUGGGUAUUAAACCAAAAUGAAUAUUAGUUGCCUUUGGCCCAAUACGUCGCCGUUCUGCCAAAAUUCGGUCCCUUUAACCCUACGUCAAAACGACGUAGUUUUGAUCCAUAAAACCCUAGCUAUAAAGUCACAAAUUUCUCCCCAAACCCGACUUUUGAAUUACCAUUUUC